Molecule: ribosomal RNA, 253 nt
Filed under: uncultured bacterium
Lineage: Bacteria
Description: partial 16S ribosomal RNA
Rfam family: Bacterial small subunit ribosomal RNA
Source: RNAcentral
UACGGGGGGGGCAAGCGUUGUUCGGAAUUACUGGGCGUAAAGGGCUCGUAGGCUGCCAACUAAGUCAGACGUGAAAUCCCUCGGCUUAACCGGGGAACUGCGUCUGAUACUGGAUGGCUUGAAUCCGGGGGAGGGAUGCGGAAUUCCAGGUGUAGCGGUGAAAUGCGUAGAUAUCUGGAGGAACACCGGUGGCGAAGGCGGCAUCCUGGACCGGCAUUGACGCUGAGGAGCGAAAGCCAGGGGAGCAAACGGG